ACUCCUGCGGGAGGCAGCAGUGGGGAAUAUUGGACAAUGGGCGCAAGCCUGAUCCAGCCAUGCCGCGUGAGUGAUGAAGGCCCUAGGGUUGUAAAGCUCUUUCACCGGAGAAGAUAAUGACGGUAUCCGGAGAAGAAGCCCCGGCUAACUUCGUGCCAGCAGCCGCGGUAAUACGAAGGGGGCUAGCGUUGUUCGGAAUUACUGGGCGUAAAGCGCACGUAGGCGGAUCGAUCAGUCAGGGGUGAAAUCCCAGGGCUCAACCCUGGAACUGCCUUUGAUACUGUCGAUCUGGAGUAUGGAAGAGGUGAGUGGAAUUCCGAGUGUAGAGGUGAAAUUCGUAGAUAUUCGGAGGAACACCAGUGGCGAAGGCGGCUCACUGGUCCAUUACUGACGCUGAGGUGCGAAAGCGUGGGGAGCAAACAGGAUUAGAAACUUGUAGUCCCAUG
This 446-nucleotide ribosomal RNA is filed under the name uncultured organism. Its description in RNAcentral is "partial 16S ribosomal RNA". It matches the Rfam family "Bacterial small subunit ribosomal RNA", at positions 335 to 799 of the family's 1533-position model. The record is from RNAcentral.